UAUUUGUUUGGACGAUUCCCUGACGGUUUCAUGUAAUUAAUGUUGAAGCUGGAUAUGUAAACAACGCAUCAGAGUUGUGCAGUCCACCAUGCACUCUGGAUGUUGAGUAUCAUUAUUCAUGGGAUUUUGCACAGCAGGUGCAUUUUCCGCAUCAUUCUCAACAGGUUGGGCCGAUUUAUUUCCGUACCCCAAGGAAGUGCCAUGUGUUUGGUGUAUGUGCAGAAGGAUCAGGCAAACAGACUUUUUAUUUAAUUGAUGAAAGUCAGUGCACUGGGAAAGGAGCAGAAAGUGUGACGUCCAUGGCUCACCACUAUUUGCAGUUCUAUGGCAUAGGAGAGAAACAUGCACAGGUUGUAUUAUGCUAUAACUAUAUAUGUAAUAACUCUUUAUGUUUUAUUUUGGGCUGUAAUUUUACUAUUAUGAAGAAGCGACACCUGUUGGCAAAUGGGACAAUAUAGAGA
Long non-coding RNA from Mercenaria mercenaria, 461 nucleotides. RefSeq lists it as uncharacterized. The transcript has 3 exons. The record is from RefSeq and is a predicted model, not a curated record. NCBI's taxonomy places the organism in Eukaryota, Metazoa, Mollusca, Bivalvia, Venerida, Veneridae.